AGUGAACGCUGGCGGUAGGCCUAACACAUGCAAGUCGAACGGCAGCACAGUAAGAGCUUGCUCUUACGGGUGGCGAGUGGCGGACGGGUGAGGAAUACAUCGGAAUCUACUUUUUCGUGGGGGAUAACGUAGGGAAACUUACGCUAAUACCGCAUACGACCUACGGGUGAAAGCAGGGGAUCUUCGGACCUUGCGCGAUUGAAUGAGCCGAUGUCGGAUUAGCUAGUUGGCGGGGUAAAGGCCCACCAAGGCGACGAUCCGUAGCUGGUCUGAGAGGAUGAGCAGCCCCACUGGAACUGAGACACGGUCCAGACUCCGACGGGAGGCCGCAGUGGGGAAUAUUGGAGAAUGGGGGCAAGCCUGAUCAAGCCAUACCGCGUGGGUGAAGAAGGCCUUCUGGUUGUAAAGCCCUUUUGUUGGGAAAGAAAAGCAGCAGGUUAAUACCCCGCUGUUCUGACGGUACCCAAAGAAUAAGCACCGGCUAACUUCGUG
Molecule: ribosomal RNA, 492 nt
Filed under: uncultured bacterium
Lineage: Bacteria
Description: partial 16S ribosomal RNA
Rfam family: Bacterial small subunit ribosomal RNA
Source: RNAcentral